GACGAACGCUGGCGGCGUGCUUAACACAUGCAAGUCGAACGGUAAGGCCCUUCGGGGUACACGAGUGGCGAACGGGUGAGUAACACGUGGGUGAUCUGCCCUGCACUUCGGGAUAAGCCUGGGAAACUGGGUCUAAUACCGGAUAGGACCCUGGGAUGCAUGUCCUGGGGUGGAAAGCUUUUGCGGUGUGGGAUGGGCCCGCGGCCUAUCAGCUUGUUGGUGGGGUGAUGGCCUACCAAGGCGACGACGGGUAGCCGGCCUGAGAGGGUGACCGGCCACACUGGGCCUGGGAUACGGCCCAGACUCCUACGGGAGGCAGCAGUGGGGAAUAUCGCACAAUGGGCGCAAGCCUGAUGCAGCGACGCCGCGUGAGGGAUGACGGCCUUCGGGUUGUAAACCUCUUUCAGCACCGACGAAGCGCAAGUGACGGUAGGUGCAGAAGAAGGACCGGCCAACUACGUGCCAGCCGCCGCCGUAA
RNAcentral lists this ribosomal RNA (478 nucleotides) under uncultured bacterium. Its description in RNAcentral is "partial 16S ribosomal RNA". It matches the Rfam family "Bacterial small subunit ribosomal RNA", at positions 28 to 523 of the family's 1533-position model. The record is from RNAcentral.